RNAcentral lists this non-coding RNA (24 nucleotides) under Arabidopsis thaliana (thale cress). Lineage: Eukaryota; Viridiplantae; Streptophyta; Magnoliopsida; Brassicales; Brassicaceae. The record is from RNAcentral.
UGGCAAUGCUAACACUGGUGUACU